CCCUUAGAUGUUCUGGGCCGCACGCGCGCUACACUGAUUCAUGCAACAAGUUUUGUCCUUGGCUGAUAGGCCUGGGUAAUCUUUGAACGUGAAUCGUGAUGGGGAUAGAUGAUUGCAAUUAUUCAUCUUCAACGAGGAACUCCUAGUAAACGCAAGUCAUCAGCUUGCAUUGAUUACGUCCCUGCCCUUUGUACACACCGCCCGUCGCACCUACCGAUUGAAUGGUCCGGUGAAAUCUUCGGAUCUGAGAGAUGUCUGAUUAAUUUCGGACGCCUUUUGGAAAAGUUGCUUAAACCUUACCAUUUAGAGGAAGGUGAAGUCGUAACA
RNAcentral lists this ribosomal RNA (327 nucleotides) under uncultured eukaryote. Its description in RNAcentral is "partial 18S ribosomal RNA". It matches the Rfam family "Eukaryotic small subunit ribosomal RNA", at positions 1470 to 1796 of the family's 1831-position model. The record is from RNAcentral.